AGGACAGCACGCCGUGGUUGCGGCACCGGGCGCACUUGGGCGUCCGCUGCAGCGGAGCCCGCGGCGGCUGCGACACCGGGCCGCCCAUGUAGAGGGAGAAAGCGACUCGGGGAGAUCUUUCCCCCCACGACUGUGUGCGGGAUGAGAGGGAGGAUGAGCGCCCAUCGGCUAAGCGCACCGAGGCGGGAGGCGGAUCGUUCAUGUGCUGGGAACGGCCCGUUUUCCCGCAGCGCCAGUGGGACCUCCUGAUCCUCGCUGCCGGGGAGCGUGCACUGUACACGUAGAGUCCCGCGUCCCGCUGCACCGCGGGGCAUCGGACACACGCGUGGUCCCCGUCAGAGACAGAAAAACCCGACGCGGAGCAAAUACCCAACCACUACAAAACGGCAA
Long non-coding RNA from Pezoporus occidentalis (night parrot), 390 nucleotides. RefSeq lists it as uncharacterized. The record is from RefSeq and is a predicted model, not a curated record. The transcript is spliced from 2 exons. NCBI's taxonomy places the organism in Eukaryota, Metazoa, Chordata, Aves, Psittaciformes, Psittacidae.